AUGCCUCCUUCAGCCUCACAGCUACUGAAAUUGGAACAGAAGAGAGAAGAUUAGCAUGGCUCUUGUGCAAGGAUGACAGGCAAAUUCUUGGAAAAAAAAAAAAAGGCCUU
Rhinolophus ferrumequinum (greater horseshoe bat) is the source of this 110-nucleotide small nuclear RNA. NCBI's taxonomy places the organism in Eukaryota, Metazoa, Chordata, Mammalia, Chiroptera, Rhinolophidae. The record is from Ensembl.